GACGAACGCUGGCGGCGUGCUUAACACAUGCAAGUCGAACGGAAAGGCCCUGCUUUUGCGGGGUGCUCGAGUGGCGAACGGGUGUGUAACACGUGUGUAACCUGCCCUUGACUUUCUGAUAACUUCAGGAAACUGCGGCUAUUACCGCAUAUGAGCUCCUGCUCCAUGGGGGGGGUUGGAGAGUUUCGGCUGUUGGGGCUGGACUCGCUGCUUAUCCGCUUGUUAGUGGGGUAGUGGCUUACCAAGGGUUUGACGGGUAGCCGGCCUGAGAGGGUGAACGGCGACCUUGGUACUACGAUACGGACCAGAAUGCUACGGGAGGCAACAGUGGGAAGUCUUGCACAACGAGGGGACGCGUGAUGCAGCAGCGCCGCGUGCGUGAUGCUGGCUUUCGGGUUGUAAACCGCUUUCGAAUGUGACGAAGCGUGAGUGACGGUAACGGGUCAAGAAGCACCGGCUAACUACGUG
This 468-nucleotide ribosomal RNA is filed under the name uncultured bacterium. Its description in RNAcentral is "partial 16S ribosomal RNA". It matches the Rfam family "Bacterial small subunit ribosomal RNA", at positions 28 to 507 of the family's 1533-position model. The record is from RNAcentral.